RNAcentral lists this long non-coding RNA (304 nucleotides) under Apteryx owenii (little spotted kiwi). Its description in RNAcentral is "lncRNA (ENSAOWG00000009099.1)". Lineage: Eukaryota; Metazoa; Chordata; Aves; Apterygiformes; Apterygidae. The record is from RNAcentral.
GCUCCUGCAGGCCCAGCUGCUCCGCAGGGUCCCCCCCAGCACGGGCACCCCUGGGAAGGGCCCGGCCACAGCCCCCCCGGCCUGGCCCCAUGCAGCCCCCCCUGGGGCGGACGGGGAGCCCCGGACCCUGCUGCCCCCCCCGGGGCAUCCCUGGCCCCGUGGUGGCCUCUGCCCAGAGCUGGAGUACUACCGGCUCAGCGUGGCCCGGCCCCCCUACACCUAUGCCACGCUCAUCCGCUGGGUGAGUGACCCCCCCCACAGCCCCUAUAGCUCCCCCAGAGCACCCUGGAACCCCCCCAUGUCC